Macaca mulatta (Rhesus monkey) is the source of this 2785-nucleotide non-coding RNA. The record is from RefSeq and is a predicted model, not a curated record. Lineage: Eukaryota; Metazoa; Chordata; Mammalia; Primates; Cercopithecidae.
UGGUUAACCAUUUACCAGCACACCACUGAGGGCAUUUAGAACCUAGCACAUGGUAAACACUAUGAUAAACGUUCUCAUUAUUUUCCCGUUUGUCCACUGGGUCAGGAUGUAUAGUCUUUUUUUGUGUCUGGGUUGGAAUUUAAAAUGUUUGAAGAUCACAGAAUUACAAAAGGCCAGAGGGUGGCUAAGCUACACCUAUUUAACUCUCCCAAUAAUGCUGUUAAGUCUGUACUAUUGAUUAUCCCCACUUUCCAGACAGGGAAACUGAAGUUCUGAGGCGGUAAAACUCAGGCAGCGCCUCCAUUAUCUGUAGUGCGAUCUGAAAUUGCAGCCGAGCAGCCUCCGCGCGCUCGCUCACUUCAAGAACGCAUUUCUCCUAUCACGUUUAUGCCCCCAGCGGUAAUUUCGCUGCCCUGCACGCGAAAAAUGAAUGGGUGGCAUCGUGCGCGUGGCAUCUUGGGAAAUGUAGUUUACAGGCUCAAUGACAAGCAUGGUCCAAGAAGGGAGGGGCGGGGGAGCAAUUCGAUCUUGGCCUCGGAAUAAAAAGAACAAAGAAUCGCCGGCAGUUUGCGCGUCGCGACGCUUCAGCCACGCAGUGCGUGGAUUCAGCCACUUUGGCCGUGCCGCUUGCAUGCCGGGAAACGCAGUUCGCGAGCCCCGGAUACGUCGACAAUAGAUGACGGGACUCACGUUGUACGUUCACAUCAGGUCCCGGCACGCCGGAGCCUGGGCGGUCCACGAUGGUGAGUUUGCCACGCUGCGACAGCUCAUAGGCUUGUCCCCCGGGCAUUCUGGUGAACUACGAACGCAAACUGAAGCUCUACGACUUGUCGCCCGUUUGCGCUCUCGCCGAGGCACAGGCUGCUCGCGGACCACCCUGCUCCGAAAACUAAGAGGUAGGUGGUAGCCCACUCAUCUGGUUACUGAUACUGGCCAGCAUCAGCUGACUGUCGGCAGGUCCUUGGGCAACUGGUGUGUGAAAUGGGACGGACGUCGAAGGACAAGCGGGAUGUCUACUACCGCCUGGCUAAGGAGAAUGGCUGGCGUGCUCGCAGCGCCUUCAAACUGCUACAGCUGGAUAAGGAAUUCCAACUCUUCCAAGGCGUGACACGGGCAGUUGACCUGUGUGCAGCCCCGGGCAGCUGGAGCCAGGUGCUGAGCCAGAAGAUUGGGGGCCAAGGGUCCGGCCACGUGGUGGCUGUGGACCUGCAGGCUAUGGCUCCACUACCAGGUGUGGUACAGAUCCAGGGGGACAUCACCCAGCUGUCCACUGCCAAGGAGAUCAUCCAGCACUUUAAGGGCUGCCCUGCGGACCUAGUGGUGUGUGACGGGGCUCCUGAUGUAACCGGCCUCCAUGAUGUUGAUGAGUAUAUGCAGGCCCAGCUUCUCCUAGCUGCUCUGAACAUUGCUACACAUGUCCUGAAGCCAGGGGGCUGCUUUGUGGCCAAGAUAUUCCGAGGCCGGGAUGUGACGCUCCUCUACAGCCAGCUGCGAGUCUUCUUCUCCAGCGUGCUGUGUGCCAAGCCCAGGAGCAGCCGGAACUCCAGCAUCGAGGCCUUCGCUGUCUGUCAGGGCUAUGACCCUCCCGAGGGCUUCAUCCCGGACCUGAGCAAACCCCUGCUGGACCAUUCUUACGACCCAGAUUUCAACCAGCUGGAUGGUCCCACCCGCAUCAUUGUACCUUUUGUGACUUGUGGGGACCUGAGCUCCUAUGAUUCGGACCGCAGUUACCCACUGGACCUAGAGGGCGGCUCAAAGUACAAGUACACUCCACCCACACAGCCCCCCAUCUCGCCACCAUACCAGGAGGCCUGCACGUUGAAGAAGAAGGGGCAGCUGGCCAAGGAGAUCCGCCCCCAGGACUGCCCCAUCAGCAGAGUAGACACGCUUCCCCAGCCCCUGGUCGCCCCUCAGCGCCACAGCCUGCUGGCCCCUGAGGUCUGGAAAUGUGACUCUCAACCCGCAUUGACCCCUUCCCUGUGUGCCUCUUUCUGACCCAAAUCUCAUGGUUUCUGGGGCCAAAAUUCCCUUUCCUGCCUCCUAAUAGCUAUAAAAAAAUUGGUGAAACCAAGCAUAAUGAAUGGAAAAAUUUCACCAAAUAUGUGAGUCACUUUUCUUUUUCUUGAGUAGAUGGAAGACAAUGAAAUGAGUUGUUCACCUUAACCCAUUAUGCUGGCAAGCUGAUACAACUCAGAAACUGCUCAGUGUCAGGAAAACCAGAACUUGUUGAUGAACUUGUUUUCAAAAUAUCAUCUCAUCAACGAGGCCUGGACAAACAAGCCCUGAGGAGGGAUCUGCAACAACCCUGAAGACAACAAGGAAAGAAAGCAUAGAAGUCUCUCCGCACUGCAGUGGGAAUUCUUGAGUGAGGUCUUACCUCUUCUUUAAACCUCUUCAGGAGUGUCCUGAUUAUAUCCAGAAAUUUCCCUAAAGGCAGGGAUUCUUAACCUGGAUAGAAGCCAGGGGUAACCAUAAACUUGAUGGAAGAAAAUGUUACAUCUUUAUUUUCAGCAAUAAAACAACGUUAGCCUUACUCCCAAGUUAUAAAUGCUGGCAACAAAUCACAAUAGUAAAAGCAGUACCUGGGAUUUUCCCACCAAUGCAAACCAGUUACAACAACUGUAAUGUAGCAUAAAAAGGGCAUCUUGAAGUAUUGUUCAUAUUUGUCACCUCUUGGAAUGACAGCAGAUCCUAUAAGUUGAUGUAUUAAUUAAAAAGCCCAUAUAUGACUGCAGCUCAAUUUUGUUUCAAUUUAAUAUAUAGUAAUAAUUGUAAUUCAAUGUAA